UGUGAUAUAAUGUUACUCAAAGUUACUACUCGCAUUCCCAUGUUCUCUAAUCAAUACGAUGUUCUUCAUGGUGUUAAAUUAUGUACAACUUAAGUUAUUUUGUGGCCUUAUUGUGUGGAAUUGUGCUCAUGCAUUUUACCUGAUGGUUUUUGUUGUUUUCCGGCUACUCUAUUUUUGAAGCUGUUGCUCAAUACAUUGUUGAUGUGUGUGUUCACGUACUGCCCUAUAAUUGGACUAUGGAUCACCACGAAGAUGAAUAUCGUGUUGCAGGUGAACAGCUUGACAAGCAAAGCGAUGAGGAAGCUGCUGCUCGUUUUGAGGAAACUAAGAAAUCAACUGAGGCAAAAAUGACUCUUCACCAAAGCAACUUGAAUCCUGAAAGGCAAGAUGCUGUUUAUGUGAUGUUCUGAGGCAACUACGCAAAUUACCAUGGAGUGAUUCUGAGUUGUACCUUUUGAAGUGCUUUUACAAGGUUCAUAAAGGAAAGUAUGGUUAGAUUCAUCUUAUUGCUUCUCUCAUGGCUGGUUUGAGUUGCUAUCCUGAUGAAUUACUGUAGCUGUUGUUGAUGAGGUUUGCUUUUGUUAUUAUGCGAAUUAUUUUUUUUCCGUAUUCCCUGAUAAAGAAUGAUAUUGGUUUUGACAGAAGAAAAUAUUGUUUCUAAACUUACAUUUCAGUGUUAAGUUGCUCCUGUAGUGUGUUUAUGUUGGUUUGUAAUAUUGUUUGCUUUAGAAUUUGUAAGUUGAGUAUGUGGAAGGUGUAUAUUGAAGAUGCUGGUCUAGGGAAUUUAAGUCAGCUAGAGCACAUGAUUUUUCUGUCAAAACUUUUUGCAAAUACAGUUUGUAUAUUCUAGAUCAUUGCUUAGUGGUCUCCAAAAUCAGCUUUAAGCUUCUGCAUUGAAGCCUUAAAUAAUUAAGCAUGACUAUGUGCAUGGUUUUGUCUUUGAAGUUUCUGUUAAAUUAAUAACAUUUGGAUUGUUUAUCUUUAUGUUUUGGAGGAGAUUAGGCUUGGGUUAGAAUCGAAUGACUAUGGAAUGCAGCAGCGGCGCAUUGCUCAUAUGAGAUAUUUAGGGGAGUUAUACAACCAUGAACAUGUGGACUCAUCUGUUGUUUUUGAUACGCUUUAUUUGAUUCUUGUCUUUGGGCAUGGCACACCAGAGGCUAGGUUAAUAUAUAUUCUUGUUUUUUUUUUUUGGAAACAUAUGUGAUAUAAUGGCAAUGUCAUUGUUUUGAGAAAUUUGAUUUGGCCUCAAAAAUGGAGAAGCCUGCACAUAAUACCA
This is a long non-coding RNA of Mangifera indica (mango), 1276 nucleotides long. RefSeq lists it as uncharacterized. The record is from RefSeq and is a predicted model, not a curated record. The transcript is spliced from 4 exons. Lineage: Eukaryota; Viridiplantae; Streptophyta; Magnoliopsida; Sapindales; Anacardiaceae.